RNAcentral lists this long non-coding RNA (400 nucleotides) under Mustela putorius furo (domestic ferret). RNAcentral's name for it is "lncRNA (ENSMPUG00000031059.1)". Lineage: Eukaryota; Metazoa; Chordata; Mammalia; Carnivora; Mustelidae. The record is from RNAcentral.
CAGGUGUCUCUACUCAUCUGUCUUAACGUUCAAAGAUGGGAUCGUCAUGGACGCAGAGGCUGCGGUGGGACAGGAGGCUGGAAAUGGAGUUAGCUCAGAGCACGGAGGAUUUUAUUUAUUCACCUGACAGACAGAGAUCACAAGAGAGGAGGAAGCAGGCUCCCGCUGAGCAGAGAUCCCAAUGUGGGGCUCCAUCCCAGGACCCUGGGAUCAUGACCUGAGCCGAAGGCAGAGGCUUUAACCCACUGAGCCACCCAGGCGCCCCUAAUAAAUGUUUAAGUAUGUGAAUGAAGUACUGCAUGACCGAACGAGUGACAGACAAGUCUUCACCUCUUCCAAGUACCUGCACUGCUCAGGCCUCUGUCUCCCUAUUACAACAUGGCUGACCUGGCCUCUUUUC